UACGGGGGAGGCAAGCGUUGUUCGGAAUUACUGGGCGUAAAGGGCUCGUAGGCGGCCAACUAAGUCAGACGUGAAAUCCCUCGGCUUAACCGGGGAACUGCGUCUGAUACUGGAUGGCUUGAAUCCGGGAGAGGGAUGCGGAAUUCCCGGUGUAGCAGUGAAAUGCGUAGAGAUCGGGAGGAACAUCUGUGGCGAAGGCGACUGCCUGGACCAGCACUGACACUGAGGCACGAAAGCGUGGGGAGCAAACAGG
This 253-nucleotide ribosomal RNA is filed under the name uncultured bacterium. RNAcentral describes it as "partial 16S ribosomal RNA". It matches the Rfam family "Bacterial small subunit ribosomal RNA", at positions 524 to 776 of the family's 1533-position model. The record is from RNAcentral.